This 460-nucleotide ribosomal RNA is filed under the name uncultured bacterium. RNAcentral's name for it is "partial 16S ribosomal RNA". It matches the Rfam family "Bacterial small subunit ribosomal RNA", at positions 338 to 795 of the family's 1533-position model. The record is from RNAcentral.
CCUACGGGAGGCAGCAGUGAGGAAUAUUGGUCAAUGGGCGCGAGCCUGAAGCAGCCAAGUAGCGUGAAGGAUGACUGCCCUACGGGUUGUAAGCUUCUUUUAUAAAGGAAUAAAGUGAGGCACGUGUGCCUUUUUGUCUGUAUUUUAUGAUUAAGGCUCGGCUAACUCCGUGCCAGCAGCCGCGGUAAUACGGAGGAUCCGUGCGUUAUCCGGAUUUAUUGGGUUUAAAGGGAGCGUAGAUGGGUUGUUAAGUCAGUUGUGAAAGUUUGCGGCUCAACCGUAAAAUUGCAAUUGAUACUGGCAGCCUUGAGUACAGUUGAGGUAGGCGGAAUUCGUGGUGUAGCGGUGAAAUGCUUAGAUAUCACGAAGAACUCCGAUUGCGAAGGCAGCUUACUAAACUGCCACUGACAUUGAUGCUCGAAAGUGUGGGUAUCAAACAGGAUUAGAUACCCCGGUAGUC